UAGAAAUAGAAAUAGAAAUAUUUUUAUUCAUGGCAAAAUAAUACAUAAAAGACACACACAAAUACAGAUCAACAACAGAGAAUUAUUUACACACAUAACAUCACAAAAGGUAAGUAAGUACACAUAGUUGCCAUGAAUAUGGUCCCGACUCAGCAUGGUGUUAGCCUGGGUGGCCAACGCUGAUCUUCCGUCAGGGCCAUAACGAAUGAUACCACGGAAAGUAUACACAUUACAAAGGAAAAUAAAAUUUAGAAUACGUUAACAAAAUGCAACAGUAUAAAUAAAUAAACAUUUUUAAAACAUUAAAAUCUAUAAUAAAAUCGGAACGUUGACAAAAUUUUUAGUCGUGAACGCAACCAAAUCUGACGUCAGCGAUUAGCGCCAUCUAUACAAUAUAGCGGGAAUUACAUUUGACGCUUUUAGCUGAUGGAGCAGUAAUUAAUAACAAGACAUGGCCGCAGUUCACGUUUUCCGAACCUUAAAACGAAGAAUAUUACAUACAAACAACAGUCAAAUCUACGUGAAUAACUACAAUAAGUAUAAGAGGGCGUUUGCGGAAGGGAUAAAAAGCGAUGGUUCCUGAUCGGCGGAGGGAUAUUAUUCCAGCAGCGGCAAGAAGUAUAGGAAUAACUGCCCCGGAAGGCUGCCGAUGCGUGCCUAGGAGUAAGAAGUCGAGUCUCAGACCGCCGGCCCCCUUGUGACCUGCGUAUGACCAGCUUCUCGUAAAGAUAAAUGGGAGACUGACAGUUUAUUACUCCAAAGAGUAAAGAGGCCAGGUGAAGCUUACGACGGUGGUGCAUUUUCAACAAGUUGUGCUGAUUAAGGAAAGGUGACACGUGGGCUCGCAGUGGAAUAGAAAAGCAAAAGCGAGCACAGGCGUUUUGUACACGUUGUAUAAGUCGCUUGGUUUUAUGAAGAAUUCGAGGUCCAAAUACCACAUCCAUAUAAUUUAAUUUCGACAAUACAAGUGACUCUACCAACCUAA
Leguminivora glycinivorella is the source of this 985-nucleotide long non-coding RNA. RefSeq lists it as uncharacterized. The transcript is spliced from 2 exons. The record is from RefSeq and is a predicted model, not a curated record. NCBI's taxonomy places the organism in Eukaryota, Metazoa, Arthropoda, Insecta, Lepidoptera, Tortricidae.